This 117-nucleotide non-coding RNA is filed under the name Candidatus Brocadia. RNAcentral's name for it is "c-di-GMP sequence". It matches the Rfam family "c-di-GMP-I-GGC riboswitch aptamer". The record is from RNAcentral. Lineage: Bacteria; Pseudomonadati; Planctomycetota; Candidatus Brocadiia; Candidatus Brocadiales; Candidatus Brocadiaceae.
CACGACAAAGGCAAACCCUGAGUGAUCAGGGGGCGCAAAGUAAAGGGUCUUUAUGUAGCUGUUUAAACGGUGUAAACCGAUUUAACGCUGAACGAAAAGAUAGCCUUGCUGCCGAAA